CCCUUAGAUGUUCUGGGCUGCACGCGCGCUACACUGAUGCACUCAACGAGUUUACGACCUUGCCCGAUAGGGUUGGGUAAUCUUUUUAAAAUGCAUCGUGAUGGGGAUAGAUUAUUGCAAUUAUUAAUCUUCAACGAGGAAUUCCUAGUAAGCGCGAGUCAUCAGCUCGUGCUGAUUACAUCCCUGCCCUUUGUACACACCGCCCGUCGCUCCUACCGAUUGGGUGCUCAGGUGAAUAAUUCGGACUGCAGCAAUGUUUGGAUCCCGAACGUUGCAGCGGAAAGUUUAGUGAACCUUAUCACUUAGAGGAAGGAGAAGUCGUAACA
This 326-nucleotide ribosomal RNA is filed under the name uncultured eukaryote. RNAcentral's name for it is "partial 18S ribosomal RNA". It matches the Rfam family "Eukaryotic small subunit ribosomal RNA", at positions 1470 to 1796 of the family's 1831-position model. The record is from RNAcentral.